UACUCCAAGUGAACCCAAUGGUUUGGUAAAGGCUUAUUUUAAUAGUCAGUUUGAAGUAUUUUUCAAUUAAGUGACAUAGGAAAUUGUUUCUUUUUACAGAUUUUCAAAAGAAUUGCGAGAUUAUAACUGGCAUGAACCUAGCAGUUGAUUGUGUUAUGUAUGAUCAAAAGACAAUUCAAUCUCUGAUUUUUUUUCCUCAUCUUAAGGAACACACUAGAUCAACCAAAGGACAACUAAGAAUAUAUGUCAAAAGAUUCUGGAGCAAAGUCCCUGAAGAGAACACAUUGAAGCAACAGGUGAUAACUAUAAAGGCCUGGUGUGUGUGCUCAGCUAUUAUUUAUAACUUUAAAGAGCAACUGAAUGAUUUUGGACCUCUGCUGAAAUUCAAACCAAAUUAGAAGCCAGACGGUUGUUACCCAUAAUCCCCACAUGAGAUGAAUCCCAGGAAGCCCAUCUGCUUGAAUUCCCCAUUUCCACAUGGAAGUUAGGAUCUCCAGCUAUUCAUAAUCUGGUGAGUCAUUUCAUCUUUUUUCUUUUGUCAUGUGUGCCAAAGAAAAUUUCUGCUGAGGAAUAUAAGGAAUCUAAAUUCUGACUGGUGUCUAUGGAGCAUAUAGUAAAUGGUCCUUAUCAUGAAUAUCUGUAGAAAACUCAGAAGGGUAGAACAUAAUAUUGUGCAUGUUAUAAACUAAAUUCUAUUCUCAACUAUAGCUACUCAGGACUUCUAAUCUUGACUGUUAAAAUCAACUUCCCAUUUCUAGUCUCCUCCCCUGGCCCAUCCCAUCCAUGCACUACCAGAUUAAUCUUUCAAAGUAGCUCUGUCUAAUAGAAUG
This 830-nucleotide long non-coding RNA is filed under the name Felis catus (domestic cat). RNAcentral describes it as "lncRNA (ENSFCAG00000051913.1)". The record is from RNAcentral. Lineage: Eukaryota; Metazoa; Chordata; Mammalia; Carnivora; Felidae.